RNAcentral lists this ribosomal RNA (461 nucleotides) under uncultured bacterium. RNAcentral's name for it is "partial 16S ribosomal RNA". It matches the Rfam family "Bacterial small subunit ribosomal RNA", at positions 338 to 795 of the family's 1533-position model. The record is from RNAcentral.
CCUACGGGAGGCAGCAGUGAGGAAUAUUGGUCAAUGGGCGCGAGCCUGAACCAGCCAAGUAGCGUGAAGGAUGACUGCCCUACGGGUUGUAAACUUCUUUUAUAAAGGAAUAAAGUGAGGCACGUGUGCCUUUUUGUAUGUACUUUAUGAAUAAGGAUCGGCUAACUCCGUGCCAGCAGCCGCGGUAAUACGGGGGAUGCAAGCGUUAUCCGGAUUUAUUGGGUUUAAAGGGUGCGUAGGCUGUGAGGUAAGUCAGCGGUGAAAUGCCCCCGCUCAACGGGGUGAAGUGCCAUUGAUACUGCCUUGCUGGAAUGCGGAUGCCGUGGGAGGAAUGUGUGGUGUAGCGGUGAAAUGCAUAGAUAUCACACAGAACACCGAUUGCGAAGGCAUCUCACGAAUCCGCGAUUGACGCUGAUGCACGAAAGCGUGGGUAUCAAACAGGAUUAGAUACCCUUGUAGUC